CGUAUCAUUGUGCUUCGCCGUCAGGCGGGGCGAUAAGUCCGAAAGAGGGAUGAUAUGAC
This 59-nucleotide non-coding RNA is filed under the name Bifidobacterium primatium. RNAcentral's name for it is "SAM-VI sequence". It matches the Rfam family "SAM-VI (S-adenosyl methionine) riboswitch aptamer". Rfam says of the family: sixth member of the riboswitch family predominantly found in Bifidobacterium and exhibits some similarities to the SAM-III (Smk box) riboswitch class, but it lacks most of the highly-conserved nucleotides of SAM-III class. The record is from Rfam by way of RNAcentral. Lineage: Bacteria; Bacillati; Actinomycetota; Actinomycetes; Bifidobacteriales; Bifidobacteriaceae.